RNAcentral lists this ribosomal RNA (253 nucleotides) under uncultured bacterium. Its description in RNAcentral is "partial 16S ribosomal RNA". It matches the Rfam family "Bacterial small subunit ribosomal RNA", at positions 524 to 776 of the family's 1533-position model. The record is from RNAcentral.
UACGUAGGGUCCGAGCGUUAAUCGGAAUUACUGGGCGUAAAGCGUGCGCAGGCGGUUCGUUGUGUCGGCGGUGAAAGCCCCGGGCUCAACCUGGGAAUGGCCGUUGAAACUGGCGAACUGGAGUGUGGCAGAGGGGGGUGGAAUUCCGCGUGUAGCAGUGAAAUGCGUAGAGAUGCGGAGGAACACCGAUGGCGAAGGCAGCCCCCUGGGCUAACACUGACGCUCAGGCACGAAAGCGUGGGGAGCAAACAGG